RNAcentral lists this ribosomal RNA (468 nucleotides) under uncultured bacterium. RNAcentral's name for it is "partial 16S ribosomal RNA". It matches the Rfam family "Bacterial small subunit ribosomal RNA", at positions 28 to 507 of the family's 1533-position model. The record is from RNAcentral.
GACGAACGCUGGCGGCGUGCUUAACACAUGCAAGUCGAACGGAAAGGCCCUGCUUUUGUGGGGUGCUCGAGUGGCGAACGGGUGAGUAACACGUGAGUAACCUGCCCUGGACUUUGGGAUAACUUCAGGGAACUGGGGCUAAUACCGGAUAGGAGCUCCUGCUGCAUGGUGGGGGUUGGAAAGUUUCGGCGGUUGGGGAUGGACUCGCGGCUUAUCAGCUUGUUGGUGGGGUAGUGGCUUACCAAGGCUUUGACGGGUAGCCGGCCUGAGAGGGUGACCGGCCACAUUGGGACUGAGAUACGGCCCAGACUCCUACGGGAGGCAGCAGUGGGGAAUAUUGCACAAUGGGCGGAAGCCUGAUGCAGCAACGCCGCGUGCGGGAUGACGGCCUUCGGGUUGUAAACCGCUUUCGCCUGUGACGAAGCGUGAGUGACGGUAAUGGGUAAAGAAGCACCGGCUAACUACGUG